UGGGGAAUUUUGGAUAAUGGGGGAAACCCUGAUCCAGCCAUCCCGCGUGUGCGAUGAAGGCCUUCGGGUUGUAAAGCACUUUUGGCAGGAAAGAAACGUCAUGGGUUAAUACCCCGUGAAACUGACGGUACCUGCAGAAUAAGCACCGGCUAACUACGUGCCAGCAGCCGCGGUAAUACGCAGGGUGCAAGCGUUAAUCGGAAUUACUGGGCGUAAAGCGUGCGCAGGCGGUUCGGAAAGAAAGAUGUGAAAUCCCAGAGCUCAACUUUGGAACUGCAUUUUUAACUACCGAGCUAGAGUGUGUCAGAGGGAGGUGGAAUUCCGCGUGUAGCAGUGAAAUGCGUAGAUAUGCGGAGGAACACCGAUGGCGAAGGCAGCCUCCUGGGAUAACACUGACGCUCAUGCACGAAAGCGUGGGGAGCAAACAGG
RNAcentral lists this ribosomal RNA (429 nucleotides) under Acidobacteriota bacterium. RNAcentral describes it as "Acidobacteria bacterium partial 16S ribosomal RNA". It matches the Rfam family "Bacterial small subunit ribosomal RNA", at positions 355 to 776 of the family's 1533-position model. Lineage: Bacteria; Pseudomonadati; Acidobacteriota. The record is from RNAcentral.